RNAcentral lists this ribosomal RNA (484 nucleotides) under uncultured bacterium. RNAcentral's name for it is "partial 16S ribosomal RNA". It matches the Rfam family "Bacterial small subunit ribosomal RNA", at positions 30 to 507 of the family's 1533-position model. The record is from RNAcentral.
AUUGAACGCUGGCGGCAGGCCUAACACAUGCAAGUCGAGCCGAUGAAGGGAGCUUGCUCCUGGAUUCAGCGGCGGACGGGUGAGUAAUGCCUAGGAAUCUGCCUGGUAGUGGGGGAUAACGUCCGGAAACGGGCGCUAAUACCGCAUACGUCCUGAGGGAGAAAGUGGGGGAUCUUCGGACCUCACGCUAUCAGAUGAGCCUAGGUCGGAUUAGCUAGUUGGUGGGGUAAAGGCCUACCAAGGCGACGAUCCGUAACUGGUCUGAGAGGAUGAUCAGUCACACUGGAACUGAGACACGGUCCAGACUCCUACGGGAGGCAGCAGUGGGGAAUAUUGGACAAUGGGCGAAAGCCUGAUCCAGCCAUGCCGCGUGUGUGAAGAAGGUCUUCGGAUCGUAAAGCACUUUAAGUUGGGAGGAAGGGCAGUAAGUUAAUACCUUGCUGUUUUGACGUUACCAACAGAAUAAGCACCGGCUAACUUCGUG